CCUACGGGAGGCAGCAGUGGGGGAUAUUGCACAAUGGGGGGAACCCUGAUGCAGCGACGCCGCGUGGGUGAAGGAGUGCUUCGGCAUGUAAAGCCCUAUCGGCAGGGAAGAAGCAAGACGGUACCUGACUAAGAAGCCCCGGCUAACUACGGGCCAGCAGCCGCGGUAAUACGUAGGGGGCGAGCGUUAUCCGGAUUCACUGGGUGUAAAGGGAGCGUAGACGGCCAUGCAAGCCAGGGGUGAAAGCCCGGGGCCCAACCCCGGGACUGCCCUUGGAACUGUGCGGCUAGAGUGCGGGAGGGGCAGGCGGAAUUCCUGGUGUAGCGGUGAAAUGCGUAGAUAUCAGGAGGAGCACCGGCGGCGAAGGCGGCCUGCUGGACCGCGACUGACGUUGAGGCUCGAAAGCGUGGGGAGCGAACAGGAUUAGAUACCCGGGUAGUC
Molecule: ribosomal RNA, 441 nt
Filed under: uncultured bacterium
Lineage: Bacteria
Description: partial 16S ribosomal RNA
Rfam family: Bacterial small subunit ribosomal RNA
Source: RNAcentral